UUAAAAUUUAAAUUUUUAACUUACUUGAUUUGGAUUUUUUUCUCAACCUUGACUUUUAGAUCUAUAAACACAUAUAUAAAAUUUUUUGUUUAUGAAAUAUUUUUUACUGUAAAUAUGUCAUUUGACUAUUUUCUUUAAAGUUUGAAAAUGAUUGACCCCCCCUAACAACAAAACUUUUCAAGUACCUGAAUUUCAACAUGAUGAGUGAUUCUUUAAUCACGACCAGAAAUAAGGAUCCAAUUUUCAUAGAUUAAGGUCAGGACUUUUGAAAUUAAUAUUAUACAUUCACGAUCAGGAUAAUUUUAUUAUUUCUUUCAUCCUAAUCUAAACUACAGUGCACUAACAUGAUUUACUCAUUGGACAUAUCUAACGGCUGAUAUCAUCUCCAUCAGAUCGAAUGGUUCACGUUCAAUCAACCCUCCUUCCUUUCAUGGGUUCCCCAAAUCACGCGUACAUUACAUUAAAUUCUCCUUCUAUUUACCGACUCCUGUCCUAUAGUGCACCAACAUGAUUUACUCAUUGGACAGAUCUAACGGCUGAUAUCAUCUCCAUCAGAUCGAACAGUUCACGUUCAAUCAACCCUUAUUUCUUUUAUAGGUUCCCCAAAUCACGCGUACGUCACGUUAAAUACUCCUUCUAUUCCAAAAUCAUGCGCACUUUCUAUCUAUUAUCCAUACAUCUAAUUUAAUGCAUUAAGUCUAGAACAAAUGUACAUCCAAAUUCAAUGUAUCAUAAAAAGACCAGAGGGAGUAUUACAAAUAACACUACGUCCGAUCUCAGUCAAAUCUUCGUUUAAUCGUUUGCCUUUUUCAAUGUUUUUAUGCAAAUAUAGAAUAUUA
This 839-nucleotide long non-coding RNA is filed under the name Oryza brachyantha (malo sina). RNAcentral's name for it is "long non-coding RNA (OBRA_LNC001743)". Lineage: Eukaryota; Viridiplantae; Streptophyta; Magnoliopsida; Poales; Poaceae. The record is from RNAcentral.